Molecule: ribosomal RNA, 435 nt
Filed under: uncultured bacterium
Lineage: Bacteria
Description: partial 16S ribosomal RNA
Rfam family: Bacterial small subunit ribosomal RNA
Source: RNAcentral
CCUACGGGUGGCAGCAGUGAGGAAUAUUGGUCAAUGGCCGUAAGGCUGAACCAGCCAAGUAGCGUGAGGGAAGACUGCCCUAUGGGUUGUAAACCUCUUUUAUGCGGGGAUAAAGGUGUCCACGUGUGGAUGUUUGCAGGUACCGCAUGAAUAAGGACCGGCUAAUUCCGUGCCAGCAGCCGCGGUAAUACGGAAGGUCCGGGCGUUAUCCGGAUUUAUUGGGUUUAAAGGGAGCGUAGGCCGGUCUUUAAGCGUGCCGUGAAAUUUUGUGGCUCAACCAUGAGAGUGCGGGAGGGGUAAGCGGAAUUCCUAGUGUAGCGGUGAAAUGCGUAGAUAUUAGGAGGAACACCGGUGGCGAAGGCGGCUUACUGGACCGUAACUGACGUUGAGGCUCGAAAGCGUGGGGAGCAAACAGGAUUAGAUACCCCAGUAGUC